Non-coding RNA from Ictidomys tridecemlineatus (thirteen-lined ground squirrel), 498 nucleotides. NCBI's taxonomy places the organism in Eukaryota, Metazoa, Chordata, Mammalia, Rodentia, Sciuridae. The record is from RefSeq and is a predicted model, not a curated record.
UUUUGCUAUGUUCAGUAUACAAGCAAUACAAAUAUGUGACUGGAGCUCUCUGCUGUGUCUGCCUGUGCUGUCUGACACAGAGGCUCCAGCUCUGCUCUAGCUUACAUAAUUCUGAGGAAGCAGUUCUGGUGAAGCUCUCAGUCCCCAUAAAAGCCGGGCUACCGACCUCCCUGCAGGCAUAAGGAAAUGGAUGAGGUUUUGCUGUUGCCCAUGCUGGCCUCAAACUCCUGGGCUCAAGUGAUCUUUCUGCCUUACCGUCCCAAGUGACCAGAACUACAGUGUGUACCACUAAGUACUUCCAGGUGCCCGGCACUGUUUUCGGUUCCAGAAGCCACCUUCCAAUCCCAUGAUCCUCUUCCUUCAGAGAGAAAACAAGAUCAGUAUUUGACAAGACAGGCGGGGCUGUUUGGCAGGUACAUAAAUAAGAACAAUGAAGACGCUUGUAGUCUAAAGGAAGAAAGAGACAAGUGAAGCAAGGAAGAAAGAGAACAUGGUCAG